This is a long non-coding RNA of Sitodiplosis mosellana (orange wheat blossom midge), 677 nucleotides long. RefSeq lists it as uncharacterized. NCBI's taxonomy places the organism in Eukaryota, Metazoa, Arthropoda, Insecta, Diptera, Cecidomyiidae. The record is from RefSeq and is a predicted model, not a curated record. The transcript has 2 exons.
CAAAAGUCCUUAAAUUUGUACAGACAUCUAUUUUUUUCACUUUUCCAAACUAAAUUCAAUUACUAUUUAGCUUAAAAAUUGGAACAGAAGAAACACAAAAAUUGUUGUAAACAAAUUCACUGGCUUGACAUAUGUCAAAAUUUAAUUUCUUAUUGGGGAAAGAUCUUUCAAUAUUUUUUUCUUCACUAGUUUGGGAUUUUUCUUUUCUACAAGCAAGACGCACAACAAAUUUCAUUCACAGACGCGAAACAUAUGGGCGACCAAUCAGAAAGCGUCUUGUAUGAUGAAGAAUAUAAUAGCACGACGUACAGUGCCAUCUACGUGGAAGCAACACUUAUAUGUAAAAAAAUAUUUAUGGAACUGAAAGGAAAUUACAUUGAAGAAAUACUUUCUGUGAAAAAGUAAACAAAUCACCUUUCAAUAAAAGAUCGGUUCCGAUGACACUGGUUUUUACAAAUGAAUUUAAACUUUCUUCUGAAAAGGCUUGGCAACGCUGCACAAUGUUCGAAAAUGGCGUAAAUGAAGCUCAGCAUACAAACGAGUUUUUAAUGAAAUUCUAUGAUUCAAGGCAAUUUAACGGAAAAAUCGCACUUCACUGUGGUUAACAUUUAAAAUAUAAUCAAUAAACUUGUACUUUAAAAUUACAGAAAUAAAUACCAAUAUUUAUUCAAAUAAUA